GCUACACUGAGCAGAAUGAGUGUCCUUUUUAAACAGAAGAAGAAGACAGAAAAACAAGUUAACUGAGAGAUCUGUGUAGUCUCCUGCCUGUCCUGCCAUCCCCUCCAGGUGACCGAUCCUUGCUCAUUUGCUCUCACUUCAGCAGUCCUGGGAGGAGCAAUCAGUUCCUGCAGUUUCUCCAAGCAGUUCACCUGACUUCUAGCGGGUUUCUGGGGAGGACCUGGAUCCAGCCUACCUUGAAUAAGAGCUGUGAGGGAGAUGGCUAUGACUUUUCUGGUUCCACCUAUCGUGGGAAUUCACCCUGGCUCCAUGAAUGUGUGACUAAUUUCCUGGACAGAAUCGUAAGGACUGAAAGGGACCCCUGGAGAUCAUUGUGUCCAACCCCCUGCUAAAGCAGUUCCCUACGGCAGGCCACACGGGAAAGCAUCCAGAUGGGUCUCGAAUGUCUCCAGAGAAGGAGAAUCCACAGCCUCUCUGGGCAGCCUGUUCCAGUGCUCUGUCAGCCUCACAGAGUUGCACUCAGUGCUCCUUAUGGGCCCUUUCCAACUCUGGAUCUGGAAUUGGAUUGCUGUGGAUCAUCUGUUCUCCCACUCUAAAUGGUUUGGUUUAUUACAGAUUCAAAAGCUCUGUAUGGUGCAGCUUUUUGGAGCAUAUGAUUAUAAAGCUGUAUUCUGCAUACAUUCAGGAUAAGAUACACUGCAGCACUGAGAGAUGUGGGCUUUGUUCCAGGAGCGUUUGUUCUCACAGGCUUACAGUGCUGAGUAGCUGCAGCCGGUAGGCAGGUUCUCGCCUUUCCUUGUCAUUCCACAUAGACUCACCACAGCAUUUUUCAUACUCCACAACGAAUUAUCCAUGCAUUAUUAGAUAGCCUUAUUUCCCAACACCUCUGCCUAAUCCCAUGCUGUACUUUUCUUGCGUCCUGCAGUAACUUUUGUAGUGAUGCAACCCAGAGAUCUGAUUUUACUCUCUGGGGUAUGAUACAAUUACAGAGGUGGGUUUUUAAAAGCACUGCCUUCAUAUAGCAUUGUGCAAUUGAUAGCAUAUUGCAUUCUUUCUGCUACCUUAUUGUUGAAGUGAUGGAACAGCAUCUUCGUUUUCCACUCUAAUAAGCAGAACAUAUCUUGAAGCUAGAACUGAGUAGAAGAAAUUUAACCCUGGAUUUGUGUCCGAGGAGUACAUAAAUACUGAAAGCAAGGAUUUUCUCAGGACAACAACUGAAGAGAUGAAGAGAAACACAAGUGCUGUUGUAAAUGCCUGCAGACUCAAAUCCUGCCAGAGGCUCCAGGUGCAACAGGAGAAGCCAGCAGAGGGAGGCACGCCCAUUUUUACUGAAAGGAUUGGAAAAGGGUACUGGAGUGAAACUGCAGUUGUCUACAAACAGAAGGAUUCUUCCACUUGCCAGCCACACGUCUCUGUCAAGAAAAAAAGAAGUUGGAGCUGCCAUUAUGAAAUUUUAUUCAAACAAACUUUUGCAAAGGAGAAGAGUGGAAGACCAAAGACAGUGUCUUGAAAGAAAAUAGUCUUUAUUUCGAGGAUUGGAAGAAGAGAAAAAGUUAAGGCUAAGAAGAGAGUUGCUCAGAGGAGUUUGGCCAUAUUAAGAGCAGAGCUGGAAGUUAUCCCAAUGUGUAGGAAGGACGAGAUGACAGCGAGAAACCAGCUCACCCAAUGAGAUGUUCAGUGACCUCAAACAAGAAACUGGUUUUGCAGGGCUGCUCUGUAAAUCAGAUCAACAAAAUGAUCUGUAUUAAUAAAGAACACAAGACCUGUUUUUG
RNAcentral lists this long non-coding RNA (1772 nucleotides) under Gallus gallus (chicken). Its description in RNAcentral is "lncRNA (ENSGALG00010010677.1)". The record is from RNAcentral. Lineage: Eukaryota; Metazoa; Chordata; Aves; Galliformes; Phasianidae.